This 506-nucleotide ribosomal RNA is filed under the name uncultured bacterium. RNAcentral's name for it is "partial 16S ribosomal RNA". It matches the Rfam family "Bacterial small subunit ribosomal RNA", at positions 29 to 523 of the family's 1533-position model. The record is from RNAcentral.
AUUGAACGCUGGCGGCAGGCCUAACACAUGCAAGUCGGACGGUAGCACAGAGGAGCUUGCUCCUCGGGUGACGAGUGGCGGACGGGUGAGUAAUGUCUGGGGAUCUGCCCGAUAGAGGGGGAUAACCACUGGAAACGGUGGCUAACACCGCAUAACGUCGCAAGACCAAAGAGGGGGACCUUCGGGCCUCUCACUAUCGGAUGAACCCAGAUGGGAUUAGCUAGUAGGCGGGGUAACGGCCCACCUAGGCGACGAUCCCUAGCUGGUCUGAGAGGAUGACCAGUCACACUGGGACUGAGACACGGCCCAGACUCCUACGGGAGGCAGCAGUGGGGAAUAUUGGACAAUGGGGGAAACCCUGAUCCAGCAAUGCCGCGUGGGUGAAGAAGGCCUUCGGGUUGUAAAGCCCUUUAGGCAGGGAAGAAGGUUUUAGGUUGAUAAGCCCUAGAAUUUGACGGUACCUGCAGAAUAAGCACCGGCUAACUCCGUGCCAGCCGCCGCUGUAA